GCCCUUCGGGGUGGAUUAGUGGCGAACGGGUGAGUAACACGUGGGCAAUCUGCCCUUCACUCUGGGACAAGCCCUGGAAACGGGGUCUAAUACCGGAUAACACUCUGUCCCGCAUGGGACGGGGUUGAAAGCUCCGGCGGUGAAGGAUGAGCCCGCGGCCUAUCAGCUUGUUGGUGGGGUAAUGGCCUACCAAGGCGACGACGGGUAGCCGGCCUGAGAGGGCGACCGGCCACACUGGGACUGAGACACGGCCCAGACUCCUACGGGAGGCAGCAGUGGGGAAUAUUGCACAAUGGGCGAAAGCCUGAUGCAGCGACGCCGCGUGAGGGAUGACGGCCUUCGGGUUGUAAACCUCUUUCAGCAGGGAAGAAGCGAAAGUGACGGUACCUGCAGAAGAAGCGCCGGCUAACUACGUGCCAGCAGCCGCGGUAAUACGUAGGGCGCAAGCGUUGUCCGGAAUUAUUGGGCGUAAAGAGCUCGUAGGCGGCUUGUCACGUCGGAUGUGAAAGCCCGGGGCUUAACCCCGGGUCUGCAUUCGAUACGGGCUAGCUAGAGUGUGGUAGGGGAGAUCGGAAUUCCUGGUGUAGCGGUGAAAUGCGCAGAUAUCAGGAGGAACACCGGUGGCGAAGGCGGAUCUCUGGGCCAUUACUGACGCUGAGGAGCGAAAGCGUGGGGAGCGAACAGGAUUAGAUACCCUGGUAGUCCACGCCGUAAACGUUGGGAACUAGGUGUUGGCGACAUUCCACGUCGUCGGUGCCGCAGCUAACGCAUUAAGUUCCCCGCCU
RNAcentral lists this ribosomal RNA (785 nucleotides) under Streptomyces sp. MBRL 216. RNAcentral describes it as "bacterial SSU rRNA". It matches the Rfam family "Bacterial small subunit ribosomal RNA", at positions 75 to 874 of the family's 1533-position model. Lineage: Bacteria; Bacillati; Actinomycetota; Actinomycetes; Kitasatosporales; Streptomycetaceae. The record is from RNAcentral.